AGAGAGAGACAUGCGCGCAUAUCAAUAAGCGGAGGAAAAGAAACUAACUAGGAUUCCCUCAGUAACGGCGAGUGAAGCGGGAAGAGCUCAAAUUUGAAAUCUUCAAGGGUUCUACCUUUACGAAUUGUAGUUUAAAGAAGUGUUUUCUGUUGAGGUUUUGGUAAAAGUUCUUUGGAAUAGGACAUCAUAGAGGGUGAGAAUCCCGUAUUUGACCAUUAUUUCCAGCUUUGUGAUACACUUUCAAAGAGUCGGAUUGUUUGGGAAUGCAGUCCAAAAUGGGUGGUAAAUUUCAUCUAAAGCUAAAUAUUGGCGAGAGACCGAUAGCGAACAAGUACCGUGAGGGAAAGAUGAAAAGAACUUUGAAAAGAGAGUUAAACAGUACGUGAAAUUGUCAAAAGGGAAGCGUUUGACACCAGUGUUGUUUUCUCGAAAAUCAAUUAAAAAAGGCAGGAUUUUGUGUUGUAUUGACUUUAUCAGCUUUCUGCACUCUCUUCUUGUCUUUCUUAAUGCACUUUUCGUUUAACAAGUCAACAUCAGUUUCUUUUGUUGUAAAAGGUCAUUGGAAGGUGGCUUUCUUUUCGGAGAAAGUGUUUAUAGCCUUUGGCCUCUGCAAUCGGAGAGAUUGAGGUCUGCAGCGUAGAUCCUUCGGGGUUAGAUACAUUUGUGCUAAGUUAUAGCCUUUCAUAGACAACUUGUUGACUAUGAUCAGUCAUGUAGCUUACUCGCUUAUGCUAUUUUACCUACGCUUAGGAUGUUGAUGUGAUACUGCGAGCA
This 774-nucleotide ribosomal RNA is filed under the name uncultured Neocallimastigales. RNAcentral's name for it is "partial large subunit ribosomal RNA". It matches the Rfam family "Eukaryotic large subunit ribosomal RNA", at positions 23 to 634 of the family's 3401-position model. Lineage: Eukaryota; Fungi; Neocallimastigomycota; Neocallimastigomycetes; Neocallimastigales. The record is from RNAcentral.